Molecule: long non-coding RNA, 201 nt
Filed under: Prunus persica (peach)
Lineage: Eukaryota; Viridiplantae; Streptophyta; Magnoliopsida; Rosales; Rosaceae
Description: long non-coding RNA (PPER_LNC004173)
Source: RNAcentral
AAUAGGUAUAUCACUAAAUAUCUUUUUAAGUAUUUUGGUUUAUUUAUUCUAGUUUUUAUGUGUUUGAGCUCCUAUGAAUUUUAUGACAAAAUGGAUUGAUGUAUUUUUCCUAUAUCUUGGUCAUAGCGAAGUUAGUGAUGGUUGAGUAGUUGCUUCAAUCUAGUAGACGAUUAUCCUUUUCUCCUAGCUUAUGGAGUGGGG